Chinchilla lanigera (long-tailed chinchilla) is the source of this 3047-nucleotide long non-coding RNA. RefSeq lists it as uncharacterized. The transcript is spliced from 2 exons. NCBI's taxonomy places the organism in Eukaryota, Metazoa, Chordata, Mammalia, Rodentia, Chinchillidae. The record is from RefSeq and is a predicted model, not a curated record.
CUCUGGCGCAGGGAUUUCUGGGAUGUGUAGUUUGCCUGGUCUUGUGGCAAUGGCUAAGGGACCACAAGCCCCAUAGGUGAUCGCGGCGUCGCGCAGACUGGUGCGAGUGCACGUCAGUACUACAAGUUCCUGGUGCGUCCUCUGAGGUUGAGAGCGACGUGGUGUGCUUAGGAUCUGCCAGUGACGUCGGGAGAGAGGGAGGCUGGGAAGAUGGCGGAAUGGCGAAAAGAAUUUAGAGGAAAAGUGGGCGUACACGAACUGAUAAAGCACCCGAGGCGGGAAAGCUGGACCUUAGAAUGAGAUAGUCCAAGGAGAGCCGGUGUGGGAGACCUACAACUGACCACCGUGUCGGCAGCCAUUUUGUGAAUCAAGCAGCCGCUUUAAAAGUUAAGUUUCUGUUUUCUGAGAUAAAUUUCUGUUUCCUCAUGGCCUGCCUAUUUUCCCGAAGUCAGGCGCCCUUCCCUAACUGUUGGGACUGCCCACUGUUGCCUUGUUACUCCCGCCUUUGUCUAGGUUGCCUGGUUACUCCCGCCUUAAGAACUUCCGCAUUUCUCCGUGCCCUAUAUAAGCACGGCACUUCCGCUAAUAAAUGAGACUUGAUCAGAACACUGUCUUGUCUCCAUUCUUCGUGUCUCUUGUCCCUCUAUCAUCCCCACUUCCCCUUUAGGGUCCUCGUUGACUGUAUCCGCGGGCCGGGUCAAGUGGCGUCCAACGCAGGGCCCCAGCACGGGGGAUCCAGUGACAGACGCUGUUCAAGAGGCCGGCAAAAUAAAAGUAAGAGGAUCAGACAGCCGGGAGCCUGCUGCGCUUUCUAGACCUCGGACAAUGAGAUCAACAAUCCAGAUCCCACUGCUGGGACUAAUGAUGAUGCUACCGCUGACUUUGUACGGCGGCUUUGGACCCCCAGUCAGCAAUGAGGAGUUUCUAAAGCAACUGUACGGUAACCCCUGUGAUUGCAGAGGGGGCACACUUGGCCCGAGUAGCAAAACAAAUGAUCUCAACACCCUAAACCUAAACCGAGUAGAUUGUGGAAACAAAGUGGCAUAUCUUAUGGCCAUGCCAAGUGUUACGGGUGGAAUGACACAAAAAUAGCAAUGUGGCUCUAAACCAAAAGUAAUACCCAAGAUCGAUGAUAAACCAGGACCAUGCCCUAAGGAAUGCAAUACUUAUUAUCCUGAAAUGCAUUCUUCCUGCUAUGAGUCAGUACAAGAGUGCACAGGAAGAGAUAAUAAGACCUAUUUUACUGCAAUACUACUAAGAACAUAUUCAGGCUCCUCUGGGGGCGACUGGGACAUUGUCCCCCGGGUUCUUGGUAAUUAUAAAUAUGCCCAAGCUUCAUGCUCGGGCACCAUAGGCAAAAAUGUCUGCUGGCAUCGGGUUGCCCCUAUCCACGUCUCCGAUGGAGGUGGACCACAAGACGUGGUCAGGGAACAUCAUACCAAAGAAUGAAUAAAAGAACUUAUAGAAUCCAUGGUCCCAAAGAUUCACUACCACCCCCUAGCACUCCCCAAGUCGCAAGGAGUCGAUUUAGACACCCAAACCUUAGAUAUUCUAAAAGCCACACAUAAAGCCCUCAAUGCCUCCAAGCCUACGUUAGCUGAAGAUUGUUGGUUAUGCAUGACCACGGGUACCCCUGUGCCCCUUGCAAUUCCUUUGAACACCACUCUAUUUGAGCUAACUCAAAAAAAUUCCCAAAAAUGUAGUGCCAGCCUCCCUUUUAAGGUGCAACCCAUAGGCCUUGACAGACCUCUCCCUUGUGUACAAGGAAGAUUUCAUAAUGAUAGCUCUGAUCUGGAUGUCGGUUUUGUCGCCUUCACUAAUUGCAGUCAGGUAUCUAAUUAUUCUUCUCUCUGUCCCGUUAGGGGACAAGUGUUUAUCUGUGGGGGAAAUACGGCUUUCUCCUUCUUACCCAGUAAUUGGUCGGGGUUAUGCGUCCUGGCUACCUUGUUGCCUGACAUAGACAUUAUACCAGGGGAUGAGCCUGUCCCCAUCACGUUUUGAUCUCGCUGUGGGCCAUAGCCAUACUAAAAGAGCGGUUCAGUUCAUCCCCCUCUUGGUAGGACUGGGCAUUUCGGGAACUCUAGCAACAGGGUCUGUAGGACUGGGAGUUGCCUUAGAGUCCCAUGUCAAACUUUCAAAUCAAUUAAUAAAUGACGUUCAGGCCCUAUCCAGUACUAUUCAAGAUAUUCAAGAUCAAUUGGAUUCUCUGGCAGAAAUGGUCCUCCAAAAUAGGAGAGGGCUAGAUCUUCUCACGACAGAACAGGGAGGGAUUUGUUUGGCUUUACAGGAACGCUGCUGCUUUUAUGCGAACAAGUCCGGCACUGUCCGAGAUAAGAUAAACUACAAAAAGACCUGGUCAAAAGGAAAAGAGAAUUAUUUGAUAGCCCUAUUUGGAGCACCUGGAAUGGGAUUUUGCCUUUUUAACAAAUUGAUGGCCUUUGUCAGACAACAGGUGGAUGCCAUAAAAAUACAACCCCUACAGGUUCACUAUCACAGGCUCGAGAUGGCUGAUAGAGAAGGUUAUAUAGAGCCCGCAAGACUACGUUAUGAUGAUAUUGCAUAGGGUAAGACCUUCUCACCUUGGUGCACUAGACUGGAUAGCCAGAGACGGGCAACUGGAGCUCACAUACAGUGCCAACUACCGCCUAAGACAGGAGCUGAGCCUUAUGCUGCUCUGUUUUCCAAUGACGGGUAAGGUUAGGUUGGUCUUACGUGAAAGUCUCCUGACCCAAGACAGGCACAGUCUCCUCAAGGAUUUUCAGCCUCAAAUUUUAUUAAAGGAAAAGGGACCUGUGGGAGACCUACAACUAACCACCGUGUCGGCAGCCAUUUUGUGAAUCAAGCAGCUGCCUUAAAAGUUAAGUUUCUGUUUUCUGAGAUAAGUUUGUUUCCUCAUGGCCUACCUAUUUCCCCGAAGUCACGCGCCCUUCCCUAACUGUUGGGACUGCCCACUGUUGCCUGGUUACUCCCGCCUUAAGAACUUCCGCAUUUCUCCGUUCCCUAUAUAAGCACGGCACUUCCCGCUAAUAAACGAGACUUGAUCAGAA